Molecule: ribosomal RNA, 253 nt
Filed under: uncultured bacterium
Lineage: Bacteria
Description: partial 16S ribosomal RNA
Rfam family: Bacterial small subunit ribosomal RNA
Source: RNAcentral
UACGGGGGGAGCAAGCGUUGUUCGGAAUUACUGGGCGUAAAGCGCGUGUAGGCGGCUCGGCAAGUCGGAUGUGAAAGCCCAGGGCUCAACCCUGGAAGUGCACUCGAAACUGCCAAGCUGGAGUCCCGGAGAGGAAGGCGGAAUUCUCGGUGUAGAGGUGAAAUUCGUAGAUAUCGAGAGGAACACCUGUGGCGAAGGCGGCCUUCUGGACGGUGACUGACGCUGAGACGCGAAAGCGUGGGGAGCAAACAGG